UACGUAGGGCGCAAGCGUUGUCCGGAUUCACUGGGUGUAAAGAGCGUGUAGGCGGCCAGGUAGGUCGGUUGUGAAAACUGGAGGCUCAACCUUCAGAGGUCGACCGAAACCAUCUGGCUAGAGUCCGGGAGAGGAGAGUGGAAUUCCUGGUGUAGCGGUGAAAUGCGCAGAUAUCAGGAGGAACACCAAUGGCGAAGGCAGCUCGCUGGGACGGUACUGACACUGAGACGCGAAAGCGUGGGGAGCAAACAGG
Molecule: ribosomal RNA, 253 nt
Filed under: uncultured bacterium
Lineage: Bacteria
Description: partial 16S ribosomal RNA
Rfam family: Bacterial small subunit ribosomal RNA
Source: RNAcentral